AUUGAACGCUGGCGGCAGGCCUAACACAUGCAAGUCGAACGGUAACAGAAAGCAGCUUGCUGCUUUGCUGACGAGUGGCGGACGGGUGAGUAAUGUCUGGGAAACUGCCUGAUGGAGGGGGAUAACUACUGGAAACGGUAGCUAAUACCGCAUAACGUCGCAAGACCAAAGAGGGGGACCUUCGGGCCUCUUGCCAUCGGAUGUGCCCAGAUGGGAUUAGCUAGUAGGUGGGGUAACGGCUCACCUAGGCGACGAUCCCUAGCUGGUCUGAGAGGAUGACCAGCCACACUGGAACUGAGACACGGUCCAGACUCCUACGGGAGGCAGCAGUGGGGAAUAUUGCACAAUGGGCGCAAGCCUGAUGCAGCCAUGCCGCGUGUAUGAAGAAGGCCUUCGGGUUGUAAAGUACUUUCAGCGGGGAGGAAGGGAGUAAAGUUAAUACCUUUGCUAAUUGACGUUACCCGCAGAAGAAGCACCGGCUAACUCCGUG
Molecule: ribosomal RNA, 490 nt
Filed under: uncultured bacterium
Lineage: Bacteria
Description: partial 16S ribosomal RNA
Rfam family: Bacterial small subunit ribosomal RNA
Source: RNAcentral